Molecule: ribosomal RNA, 444 nt
Filed under: uncultured bacterium
Lineage: Bacteria
Description: SSU rRNA
Rfam family: Bacterial small subunit ribosomal RNA
Source: RNAcentral
AGAACGAACGCUGGCGGCAGGCCUAACACAUGCAAGUCGAACGCCCCGCAAGGGGAGUGGCAGACGGGUGAGUAACGCGUGGGAACGUGCCCUUCGGUUCGGAAUAACUCAGGGAAACUUGAGCUAAUACCGGAUACGUCCGUAAGGAGAAAGAUUUAUCGCCGAAGGAUCGGCCCGCGUCGGAUUAGCCAGUUGGUGGGGUAACGGCCUACCAAAGCGACGAUCCGUAGCUGGUCUGAGAGGACGGCCAGCCACACGGGGACUGAGACACGGCCCCGACUCCUACGGGAGGCAGCAGCGAGGAAUCUUGGGCAAUGGGCGCAAGCCUGACCCAGCGACGCCGCGUGGGCGAUGAAGGCCUUCGGGUCGUAAAGCCCUUUUGCAGGGGACGAUGAUGACGGUACCCUGCGAAUAAGCCACGGCUAACUACGUGCCAGCAGCCGC